RNAcentral lists this ribosomal RNA (214 nucleotides) under Salmonella enterica subsp. enterica serovar Enteritidis. RNAcentral's name for it is "partial 23S ribosomal RNA". It matches the Rfam family "Bacterial large subunit ribosomal RNA", at positions 578 to 795 of the family's 2925-position model. Lineage: Bacteria; Pseudomonadati; Pseudomonadota; Gammaproteobacteria; Enterobacterales; Enterobacteriaceae. The record is from RNAcentral.
AGCACCCUUUGGGUGUGACUGCGUACCUUUUGUAUAAUGGGUCAGCGACUUAUAUUCUGUAGCAAGGUUAACCGAAUAGGGGAGCCGGAGGGAAACCGAGUCUUAAUUGGGCGUUAAGUUGCAGGGUAUAGACCCGAAACCCGGUGAUCUAGCCAUGGGCAGGUUGAAGGUUGGGUAACACUAACUGGAGGACCGAACCGACUAAUGUUGAAAA